This 88-nucleotide transfer RNA is filed under the name Gordonia phage Phendrix. RNAcentral's name for it is "tRNA-Asn". It matches the Rfam family "tRNA". From Rfam's summary of the family: Transfer RNA (tRNA) molecules are approximately 80 nucleotides in length. Their secondary structure includes four short double-helical elements and three loops (D, anti-codon, and T loops). Lineage: Duplodnaviria; Heunggongvirae; Uroviricota; Caudoviricetes. The record is from RNAcentral.
UGGCAUGUAGCUCAACGGCAGAGCAGCCGGCUGUUAACCGGUACGGAGUAAAAUCCAAGUGGAGGUUCGAAUCCUCUCAUGCCAGCCA